Molecule: ribosomal RNA, 498 nt
Filed under: uncultured bacterium
Lineage: Bacteria
Description: partial 16S ribosomal RNA
Rfam family: Bacterial small subunit ribosomal RNA
Source: RNAcentral
GACGAACGCUGGCGGCGUGCCUAAUACAUGCAAGUCGAGCGGACGAAUCGAAAGCUUGCUUUUGAUUCGUUAACGGCGGACGGGUGAGUAACACGUGGGCAACCUGCCCUGUAGACGGGGAUAACACCGAGAAAUCGGUGCUAAUACCGGAUAACACGAAAUGUCGCAUGACGUUUCGUUGAAAGACGGCGCACGCUGUCGCUACAGGAUGGGCCCGCGGCGCAUUAGCUAGUUGGUGAGGUAACGGCUCACCAAGGCGACGAUGCGUAGCCGACCUGAGAGGGUGAUCGGCCACACUGGGACUGAGACACGGCCCAGACUCCUACGGGAGGCAGCAGUAGGGAAUCUUCCGCAAUGGACGAAAGUCUGACGGAGCAACGCCGCGUGAGCGAAGAAGGCCUUCGGGUCGUAAAGCUCUGUUGUUAGGGAAGAACAAGUAACGCAGUAACUGGCGUUACCGUGACGGUACCUAACGAGAAAGCCACGGCUAACUACGUG